RNAcentral lists this ribosomal RNA (235 nucleotides) under uncultured bacterium. Its description in RNAcentral is "partial 16S ribosomal RNA". It matches the Rfam family "Bacterial small subunit ribosomal RNA", at positions 118 to 347 of the family's 1533-position model. The record is from RNAcentral.
UGAGCAAUCUGCCCUUCUCAUCGGAAUAAGCGUUGGAAACGACGUCUAAUGCCGAAUACGACCUCCUUUCGCAUGAUCGGAGGUGGAAAGCUCCGGCGGAGAAGGAUGAGCUCGCGGCCUAUCAGCUAGUUGGUGUGAGUAAUGGCCCACAAGGCGACGACGGGUAGCCGGCCUGAGGAGGGUCGACCCGGCCACACGUGGGACUGGAGACACGGCCCAGACCUCCGUAGGGAGG